AACGAGCGCAACCCCUACUUGUUAGUUGCCAUCAUUCAGUUGGGCACUCUAGCGAGACUGCCGGUAAUAAACCGGAGGAAGGUGGGGAUGACGUCAAAUCAUCAUGCCCCUUAUGACCUGGGCUACACACGUGCUACAAUGGUUGGUACAACGAGUUGCGAGUCGGUGACGGCGAGCUAAUCUCUUAAAGCCAAUCUCAGUUCGGAUUGUAGGCUGCAACUCGCCUACAUGAAGUCGGAAUCGCUAGUAAUCGCGGAUCAGCACGCCGCGGUGAACUACGCUCCCGGGCCUU
This 292-nucleotide ribosomal RNA is filed under the name uncultured Streptococcus sp. RNAcentral's name for it is "partial 16S ribosomal RNA". It matches the Rfam family "Bacterial small subunit ribosomal RNA", at positions 1091 to 1382 of the family's 1533-position model. Lineage: Bacteria; Bacillati; Bacillota; Bacilli; Lactobacillales; Streptococcaceae. The record is from RNAcentral.